GUCGCGCAGCUUAGGUGGGAGACGUUGAACCUUUUCUUCCGGGAAAGGGGGAGUCAUCAGUGAGAUACCACUCUUGGUAAGCUAGAGCGCUCAUUUUUAACCGUUAUCCGGUAAAAAGACAGUUUCAGGCGGGCAGUUUGACUGGGGCAGUCACCUCCCAAAAGGUAAUGGAGGUGUACAAAGGUUCUCUCAGGCUGGACGGAAAUCAGCCAUAGAGUGUAAAAGCAUAAGAGAGCUUGACUGCGAGACGGACAUGUCAAGCAGAGACGAAAGUCGGUUUUAGUGAUCCGACGGUGCUGAGUGGAGAGGCCGUCGCUCAACGGAUAAAAGUUACUCUAGGGAUAACA
Molecule: ribosomal RNA, 347 nt
Filed under: uncultured eukaryote
Lineage: Eukaryota
Description: LSU rRNA
Rfam family: Bacterial large subunit ribosomal RNA
Source: RNAcentral